AUGGAAGGAAAACGCAUAGUACUAUUUUCUUAAUUAAACUUAUUUUUUCCUAUAGAAUAUUCGUGAGUUCUCGUCAGAAAUGAAAUGUUAGAAACUGCCCUAGCAUUCCCGCUCCACUUCCUCGCGACCGCCGGUGAAGCUCUCCGCUGCCAGACCAUUGUCCGAUAAUCAUUGCUAGAGAGCUUUGAGUCGCUGCCACCGUGCCCUGGACGACGUCACCUUGCCCAGCCUUCACCGUCGCCGUCUGUGCCGCCACCGUGCCCUGCCGUCACUUCCAUCGUGCUUAUAAGGAUAGCAAUCUCAGAUUGUCGUGCUUUGGAUUGAUGAAGAAUAGUAGAGAUGGGAAAAGCUACAUUACAAACUUGGCAUUUACUCCACCAGAGUACGGACUGUACUUUUGUCAAUGCUAGAUAUCGGGCGAUGAAGCAAUAGAAAUUGCAAAGCAAUUGGCUCUUCAAGAAGGCCUACUGAUCAUACAAAAAUGGCAUCCGUUAGCUACAGCGAGAAGCAAGUGAGAUAUGAACAAUCACUGGAUGUACCAACAUUUUAACAAUAGCAGGGAUACACUGAAGCCAAUGAAAUCCUAGCGAGACAUGGGUGGCUGACACUCGUCGUUGCCGAAGCACCUUUCAUCCUAAAGACUCCCAUCAACCAAUUCUAUGAGAAGCUCGCCAUAGAUACUGCCUGUGAUUUUGUCACCAAAAUCAAUGUUUUCACGUCUCCGGACUACAAGGAACAAGAGAAAGUGAGGAUCAAUGUUUCUGAAACAGUCCGCAAGCUAUAAAACCUGCCAAACAAUGGCCAUAUGCCCUCCUCCAUCCCAGACAAGGAGGCAAAUGAAAUUCUGAAGGCGACAACGCUUCGGAAGGAUA
Long non-coding RNA from Salvia miltiorrhiza (redroot sage), 872 nucleotides. RefSeq lists it as uncharacterized. The record is from RefSeq and is a predicted model, not a curated record. The transcript has 5 exons. NCBI's taxonomy places the organism in Eukaryota, Viridiplantae, Streptophyta, Magnoliopsida, Lamiales, Lamiaceae.